UAUAAUAUUCAGCUGCCAAUCCUAGCGAUUCCGCAGUGUUAUAUUUUCCAUGUAAUGACUGUUUAUAUUAAAGGAUAAUGAUUCCCGACUUGCCAUACUUCAAAGAAUUUCAAUAAUCGUUGGUGGGUGUGUAAUUCUCUGUGUUUGCAGUCGGGCAAGAAUUUUCAUGGGACUCCCCCAAAGUUGACAAUGCUAAUACGGUAGUAUUAGUACGACCAGCAGCAGGUGAUAUGAUUUCCAAUCUAUUUAUACGGAUCAAGGGAUGGACUGACUAUAAAGAAUGCACAAGUGUCUGCUGAAGCUCCAAGAAAUACAGAAGUGAAUGGGAGAGACCACCAGAAGGAUGGGCAAAAACCAAUUGGGAUGCUGCUAUAAUGCUAUUGACAGGUCUAGGAAUAAAAUAGGAAUUGGAGUUGUUGUUCGGGAUCAUGAAAGACAAGUUAUGGCUACCUGACGUGCAUCCAAAAUUCUCAAAGCUAAGGCCAUCCUCGUUGAAGCUUUUGCCGCCUAAUUUGGGAGAGAAUUGGGGUUGCAACAAGUCCUGAUGGAGGGAGAUGCUUCACAAGUUGUGAAUGCUCUCAGGAACUUUCUGAAAGAAUAGGGGGAUGAUGAACUGAGACAUACUGCUUAGGAUGCUCAUUAUUUUGGGUCUUUUCUAUAGAGAGUCUUGAUGUUGCGGCCAUUACGACACUGGCGCACCGCAGUCCUUGCUCAAGGAUACAGAAUAAUCAGAUUAAGCCAUACAUGAAGAGAUUUUUCUUUCCACACAUGGCGACAUCCCAUGCUUUUGUUGUGAAUAUUGCAUGCCUCAUUUGUGCCA
Molecule: long non-coding RNA, 820 nt
Organism: Carya illinoinensis
Lineage: Eukaryota; Viridiplantae; Streptophyta; Magnoliopsida; Fagales; Juglandaceae
Exons: 2
Source: RefSeq, a predicted model, not a curated record